This 253-nucleotide ribosomal RNA is filed under the name uncultured bacterium. RNAcentral describes it as "partial 16S ribosomal RNA". It matches the Rfam family "Bacterial small subunit ribosomal RNA", at positions 524 to 776 of the family's 1533-position model. The record is from RNAcentral.
UACGGAGGGAGCUAGCGUUAUUCGGAAUUACUGGGCGUAAAGCGUACGUAGGCGGCUUUGCAAGUUAGAGGUGAAAGCCUGGAGCUCAACUCCAGAACUGCCUUUAAAACUGCAUCGCUUGAAUCCAGGAGAGGUGAGUGGAAUUCCGAGUGUAGAGGUGAAAUUCGUAGAUAUUCGGAAGAACACCAGUGGCGAAGGCGGCUCACUGGACUGGUAUUGACGCUGAGGUACGAAAGCGUAGGGAGCAAACAGG